Molecule: ribosomal RNA, 486 nt
Filed under: Triticum aestivum (bread wheat)
Lineage: Eukaryota; Viridiplantae; Streptophyta; Magnoliopsida; Poales; Poaceae
Description: partial small subunit ribosomal RNA
Source: RNAcentral
UCUCAGGAUGCUGUCUUGACUAGGCAAGUUAUGAAGGAGAGGAGAUGGCCUGGGGAUCCCAAAUGCUCCUUUUAUGACAAUAUUGAAUCAUCCCGACAUUUGUUUUUCAUUUGUCUUGUGGCUAAAGUGGUGUGGCAUUGUGUUGGGAUGGCUUUAGGGACGGACCUCUGUCCAAACAGUUACUGGCAAUAUUUCUUCUGGUGCCACACUUUCCUUCCCUAUGGGAAGAAAUACUAUACUGUUGGCCCGGCGGCCGUUUGCUGGGCUAUCUAGUUGGCUAGAAAUCGAGCCACCUUUGAGAAGAAACAAAUUAAGACACCAUUUGAGAUUGUGUUUUCCGUGUGCUCCUUUUUGCUAUAUUGGGCAGGUCUUCAGCAAGGUGAUGGAGUCAAGGAGCUGCGCAGUGGGGCGGCGAUGGUCAGGUCAAGCACUAUGAGCAUGAUGAAGAUGUGCGAGGAGGCGAGGAGACUGAUCGAGGGAGAAUGA